GUCCCCGUAGCUCAGUCGGAUAGAGCAAGUGCCUCCUAAGCGCUAGGUCGGAGGUUCAAUUCCUCUCGGGGACG
RNAcentral lists this transfer RNA (74 nucleotides) under Thiopseudomonas alkaliphila. RNAcentral describes it as "Oblitimonas alkaliphila tRNA". It matches the Rfam family "tRNA". From Rfam's summary of the family: Transfer RNA (tRNA) molecules are approximately 80 nucleotides in length. Their secondary structure includes four short double-helical elements and three loops (D, anti-codon, and T loops). Lineage: Bacteria; Pseudomonadati; Pseudomonadota; Gammaproteobacteria; Pseudomonadales; Pseudomonadaceae. The record is from Rfam by way of RNAcentral.